AUUCUCCUGCCUCAGGCUCCCGAGUAGCUGGGAUUACAGGUGCCUGCCCCCACACCUGGCUAACUUUUGUAUUUUUAGUAGAGAUGAGGUUUCACCACAUUGGCCAGGCUGGUCUCGAACUCCUGACCUCAAGUGAUCUGCCUGCCUCAGCCUCUCAAAGUGCUGGGAUUACAGACACGAGCCACUGCACCCAGCUAUGCAGAUUUUCAAAUGAAAUAGUUGGGCACAUGUACCACAAUUCUCAAUCCCCUUUUACCUGUUUCAGAAAUAGAAAAUAAUUAAGAAUGAAGAAGAGACAAAUAAUUUCUAAAGAUGAUAUCUGUACAGAAAGCACUCCUGCAAGCCUUAUCCUCUCCUUACUUUAGGGAAUAAAGGGCACCUGCUCUCUUUAUCUCAAAUCUAGGGAUAGGUGUGCAGAGCACAACCUUAAGACUAGAACAUGGGGUAUAUUAGUUGGGAUAGGACAGGCUUUGUUGCAGUAACAAAUAAACCCAGAAAUCUCAGUUACUUAAUCCAAUAACAAUUUAUUUCAAGCUCAAGUUGAAGUCUGGUGCCGUUCCGGUUCUCCUCUUCCUCUUAUGGUGGUGCUAUCUGGAACUCAUUGCCUUUAAGGGAGAAGAGAUAGAGGAUGGAAACACUUGGCUCUUAAGUGCCUCUGUCCAGAAGAGACAUAUGGCUAUUCUAUUUACUUCACUGGCCAGAACUUGUUUCAUGGCCUCCAUCCAAAUGCAACAGAGACUGAGAAACAGAGGAGCACAUAGAUAUUUGGUGAGCACUAUCAACUUUUAGAGACUCUUCUCCUAGAUGAGCUUGAAAUGUGUUUCCUAAAUGCAGUUGGGAGACAUGGAACACCAGUGCUUGAGUCACUUCCCCUCUUGCAAAAGGCAAAGCAGCCAGUGGUACCAGGAAAACUCUGUUGGGUUCAGUUCGCACUUGCAGAGGUUGUCAAGGCAAGGAAUGUAUGGCUGUUUCCUAUGGAUUAGCUAGGGAGGGGGAGCUGAUGUGCGAUCAUUGUGGGACCCACCCAAUAGGGCCUUCUGGAAUGUGGAGGUGAAUGCAUAGGGCCAAGGAAAGAGCACCUAUAGUAGAGAUGCACCCAGAUUUCAGAUGGAAAGGCUCCAGCAG
RNAcentral lists this long non-coding RNA (1125 nucleotides) under Macaca fascicularis (crab-eating macaque). Its description in RNAcentral is "lncRNA (ENSMFAG00000050491.1)". The record is from RNAcentral. Lineage: Eukaryota; Metazoa; Chordata; Mammalia; Primates; Cercopithecidae.